Molecule: ribosomal RNA, 398 nt
Filed under: uncultured bacterium
Lineage: Bacteria
Description: bacterial SSU rRNA
Rfam family: Bacterial small subunit ribosomal RNA
Source: RNAcentral
GGAAUAUUGGACAAUGGGGGAAACCCUGAUCUAGCCAUGCCGCGUGAUCGAUGAAGGCCUUAGGGUUGUAAAGAUCUUUCAGUUGGGAAGAUAAUGACGGUACCAACAGAAGAAGCCCCGGCUAACUCCGUGCCAGCAGCCGCGGUAAUACGGAGGGGGCUAGCGUUAUUCGUAAUUACUAGGCGUAAAGCGCACGUAGGCGGACUGGAAAGUUAGAGGUUAAAUCCCAGGGCUCAACCUUGGAACUGCCUUUAAAACUAUCAGUCUAGAGAUCGAGAGAGGUGAGUGGAAUUCCGAGUGUAGAGGUGAAAUUCGUAGAUAUUCGGAGGAACACCAGUGGCGAAGGCGGCUCACUGGUCCAUAACUGACGCUGAGGUGCGAAAGCGUGGGGAGCAAAC